GUAACGCGUAAAGAACUUGCCUCACAGAUAGGGACAACAUUUGGAAACGAAUGCUAAUACCUGAUAUUAUGAUUUUAGGGCAUCCUAGGAUUACGAAAGCUAUAUGCGCUGUGAGAGAGCUUUGCGUCCCAUUAGCUAGUUGGAGAGGUAACGGCUCACCAAGGCGAUGAUGGGUAGCCGGCCUGAGAGGGUGAUCGGCCACAAGGGGACUGAGACACGGCCCUUACUCCUACGGGAGGCAGCAGUGGGGAAUAUUGGACAAUGGACCAAGAGUCUGAUCCAGCAAUUCUGUGUGCACGAUGAAGUUUUUCGGAAUGUAAAGUGCUUUCAGUUGGGAAGAAAAGAAUGACGGUACCAACAGAAGAAGUGACGGCUAAAUACGUGCCAGCAGCCGCGGUAAUACGUAUGUCACAAGCGUUAUCCGGAUUUAUUGGGCGUAAAGCGCGUCUAGGUGGUUAUGUAAGUCUGAUGUGAAAAUGCAGGGCUCAACUCUGUAUUGCGUUGGAAACUGUGUAACUAGAGUACUGGAGAGGUAAGCGGAACUACAAGUGUAGAGGUGAAAUUCGUAGAUAUUUGUAGGAAUGCCGAUGGGGAAGCCAGCUUACUGGACA
Molecule: ribosomal RNA, 611 nt
Filed under: uncultured Fusobacteriota bacterium
Lineage: Bacteria; Fusobacteriati; Fusobacteriota
Description: bacterial SSU rRNA
Rfam family: Bacterial small subunit ribosomal RNA
Source: RNAcentral